CCUACGGGUGGCAGCAGUGAGGAAUAUUGGUCAAUGGACGAGAGUCUGAACCAGCCAAGUAGCGUGAAGGAUGACUGCCCUAUGGGUUGUAAACUUCUUUUAUAAAGGAAUAAAACGAGGCACGUGUGCCCUUUUGCAUGUACUUUAUGAAUAAGGAUCGGCUAACUCCGUGCCAGCAGCCGCGGUAAUACGGAGGAUUCGAGCGUUAUCCGGAUUUAUUGGGUUUAAAGGGAGCGUAGAUGGGUUGUUAAGUCAGUUGUGAAAGUUUGCGGCUCAACCGUAAAAUUGCAAUUGAUACUGGCAGUCUUGAGUACAGGUGAGGUAAGCGGAAUGCGUGGUGUAGCGGUGAAAUGCAUAGAUAUCACGAAGAACCCCGAUUGCGAAGGCAGCUUACUAAACUGUGACUGACAUUGAUGCUCGAAAGUGUGGGUAUCAAACAGGAUUAGAUACCCGUGUAGUC
RNAcentral lists this ribosomal RNA (460 nucleotides) under uncultured bacterium. Its description in RNAcentral is "partial 16S ribosomal RNA". It matches the Rfam family "Bacterial small subunit ribosomal RNA", at positions 338 to 795 of the family's 1533-position model. The record is from RNAcentral.